CCUACGGGAGGCAGCAGUGAGGAAUAUUGGUCAAUGGACGAGAGUCUGAACCAGCCAAGUAGCGUGAAGGAUGACUGCCCUAUGGGUUGUAAACUUCUUUUAUAUGGGAAUAAAAUGUUCCACGUGUGGGAUUUUGUAUGUACCAUAUGAAUAAGGAUCGGCUAACUCCGUGCCAGCAGCCGCGGUAAUACGGAGGAUCCGAGCGUUAUCCGGAUUUAUUGGGUUUAAAGGGAGCGUAGGUGGAUUGUUAAGUCAGUUGUGAAAGUUUGCGGCUCAACCGUAAAAUUGCAGUUGAAACUGGCAGUCUUGAGUACAGUAGAGGUGGGCGGAAUACGUGGUGUAGCGGUGAAAUGCUUAGAUAUCACGAAGAACUCCGAUUGCGAAGGCAGUUCACUGGACUGCAACUGACACUGAGGCUCGAAAGUGUGGGUAUCAAACAGGAUUAGAUACCCCAGUAGUC
RNAcentral lists this ribosomal RNA (460 nucleotides) under uncultured bacterium. RNAcentral describes it as "partial 16S ribosomal RNA". It matches the Rfam family "Bacterial small subunit ribosomal RNA", at positions 338 to 795 of the family's 1533-position model. The record is from RNAcentral.